RNAcentral lists this ribosomal RNA (135 nucleotides) under uncultured bacterium. RNAcentral's name for it is "partial 16S ribosomal RNA". It matches the Rfam family "Bacterial small subunit ribosomal RNA", at positions 355 to 508 of the family's 1533-position model. The record is from RNAcentral.
UGGGGAAUAUUGCGCAUGGGGGAAACCCUGACGCAGCAACGCCGCGUGAAUGAUGAAGGCCUUCGGGUUGUAAAGUUCUGUCUUCUGGGACGAUAAUGACGGUACCAGAGGAGGAAGCCACGGCUAACUACGUGC